AGUGAACGCUGGCGGUAGGCCUAACACAUGCCAGUCGAACGGCAGCACAGUAAGAGCUUGCUCUUACGGGUGGCGAGUGGCGGACGGGUGAGGAAUACAUCGGAAUCUACUUUUUCGUGGGGGAUAACGUAGGGAAACUUACGCUAAUACCGCAUACGACCUACGGGUGAAAGCAGGGGAUCUUCGGACCUUGCGCGAUUGAAUGAGCCGAUGUCGGAUUAGCUAGUUGGCGGGGUAAAGGCCCACCAAGGCGACGAUCCGUAGCUGGUCUGAGAGGAUGAUCAGCCACACUGGAACUGAGACACGGUCCAGACUCCUACGGGAGGCAGCAGUGGGGAAUAUUGGACAAUGGGCGCAAGCCUGAUCCAGCCAUACCGCGUGGGUGAAGAAGGCCUUCGGGUUGUAAAGCCCUUUUGUUGGGAAAGAAAAGCAGCAGGUUAAUACCCCGCUGUUCUGACGGUACCCAAAGAAUAAGCACCGGCUAACGUCGUG
This 492-nucleotide ribosomal RNA is filed under the name uncultured bacterium. Its description in RNAcentral is "partial 16S ribosomal RNA". It matches the Rfam family "Bacterial small subunit ribosomal RNA", at positions 29 to 507 of the family's 1533-position model. The record is from RNAcentral.